GGGGGUCCGACUAAGCCAUGCGAGUCAUGGGGCGCCUCGCGCGCACCGGCGGACGGCUCAGUAACACGUCGGUAACCUACCCUCGGGAGGGGGAUAACCCCGGGAAACUGGGGCUAAUCCCCCAUAGGUCUGAGGUACUGGAAGGUCCUCAGGCCGAAAGGGACUCUGUCCGCCCGAGGAUGGGCCGGCGGCCGAUUAGGUAGUUGGUGGGGUAACGGCCCACCAAGCCUAAGAUCGGUACGGGCCAUGAGAGUGGGAGCCCGGAGAUGGACACUGAGACAAGGGUCCAGGCCCUACGGGGCGCAGCAGGCGCGAAACCUCCGCAAUGCGGGAAACCGCGACGGGGGGACCCCCAGUGCCGUGGCAUCGCCACGGCUUUUCCGGAGUGUAAGGAGCUCCGGGAAUAAGGGCUGGGCAAGGCCGGUGGCAGCCGCCGCGGUAAUACCGGCGGCCCGAGUGGUGGCCACUAUUAUUGGGCCUAAAGCGUCCGUAGCCGGGCCCGUAAGUCCCUGGCGAAAUCUCACGGCUCAACCGUGGGGCUCGCUGGGGAUACUGCGGGCCUUGGGACCGGGAGAGGCGGAGGGUACCCCUGGGGUAGGGGUGAAAUCCUAUAAUCCCAGGGGGACCGCCAGUGGCGAAGGCGCUCCGCUGGAACGGGUCCGACGGUGAGGGACGAAGGCCAGGGGAGCAAACCGGAUUAGAUACCCGGGUAGUCCUGGCUGUAAAGGAUGCGGGCUAGGUGUCGGGUGAGCUUCGGGCUCGCCCGGUGCCGGAGGGAAGCCGUUAAGCCCGCCGCCUGGGGAGUACGGCCGCAAGGCUGAAACUUAAAGGAAUUGGCGGGGGAGCACCACAAGGGGUGGAGCGUGCGGUUUAAUUGGAUUCAACGCCGGGAACCUCACCGGGGGCGACGGCAGGAUGAAGGCCAGGCUGAAGGUCUUGCCGGACACGCCGAGAGGAGGUGCAUGGCCGCCGUCAGCUCGUACCGUGAGGCGUCCACUUAAGUGUGGUAACGAGCGAGACCCGCGCCCCCAGUUGCCAGUCCUCCCCGCUGGGGAGGAGGCACUCUGGGGGGACCGCCGGCGAUAAGCCGGAGGAAGGAGCGGGCGACGGUAGGUCAGUAUGCCCCGAAACCCCCGGGCUACACGCGCGCUACAAUGGGCGGGACAAUGGGAUCCGACCCCGAAAGGGGAAGGGAAUCCCCUAAACCCGCCCCCAGUUCGGAUUGCGGGCUGCAACUCGCCCGCAUGAAGCUGGAAUCCCUAGUACCCGCGUGUCAUCAUCGCGCGGCGAAUACGUCCCUGCUCCUUGCACACACCGCCCGUCACUCCACCCGAGCGGGGUCCGGGUGAGGCUUGGUCUCCCUUCGGGGAGGCCGGGUCGAGCCCGGGCUCCUGAGGG
RNAcentral lists this ribosomal RNA (1398 nucleotides) under Thermococcus waimanguensis. RNAcentral describes it as "bacterial SSU rRNA". It matches the Rfam family "Archaeal small subunit ribosomal RNA". The record is from RNAcentral. Lineage: Archaea; Methanobacteriati; Methanobacteriota; Thermococci; Thermococcales; Thermococcaceae.